RNAcentral lists this ribosomal RNA (498 nucleotides) under uncultured bacterium. Its description in RNAcentral is "partial 16S ribosomal RNA". It matches the Rfam family "Bacterial small subunit ribosomal RNA", at positions 28 to 507 of the family's 1533-position model. The record is from RNAcentral.
GACGAACGCUGGCGGCGUGCCUAAUACAUGCAAGUCGAACGAGAGCGACCGGUGCUUGCACUGGUCAAUCUAGUGGCGAACGGGUGAGUAACACGUGGGUAACCUGCCCAUCAGAGGGGGAUAACAUUCGGAAACGGAUGCUAAAACCGCAUAGGUCUUCGAACCGCAUGGUUUGAAGAGGAAUAGAGGCGCAAGCUUCUGCUGAUGGAUGGACCCGCGGUGCAUUAGCUAGUUGGUGAGGGAACGGCUCACCAAGGCCGUGAUGAAUAGCCGACCUGAGAGGGUGAUCGGGCACAUUGGGACUGAGACACGGCCCAAACUCCUACGGGAGGCAGCAGUAGGGAAUAUUCCGCAAUGGAGGCAAGUAUGACGGAGCAACGCCGAGUGAGUGAAGAAGGUUUUCGGAUCGUAAAACUCUGUUGUUAGAGAAGAAUAAGUGCUAGAGUAACUGUGAGCGACUUGACGGUAUCUAACCAGAAAGCAACGGCUAACUACGUG